AAACCGUUCAGGGGUAAACCUGAGAAACCCAAAAGAUCGAAUGGGGAGAUUCAUCGUCGACGAGGCUGGCUUCCGUUGGUGCGCAGAUAGCCCGCAAUGGACCUUCGUGGUUUCAGUGCGAGGGUACACCAUCUUCGGCAAAUGUUCCGGCCGCGUAGUCGUGCACUUCUCCCUUAGUAGAACGUCGCGACCCGUUGCGUGUCGGUCUACGGCCCGAGUUGUUGAUUGCCGUGUCGCCAUCGUGCGUACACGGCAAACGCUCGAUCGCCUGGCCGGCUGCGUGACGGUACUCUGACGGUAUCGGGCCGCAACCAAUCCAUUCUCGAAUGUUUGUGCGUCAGGCCCGCCGCAAGCUCGGUUAGUUGUUACCCGGAGGUACGGACCUGGUGCCGGCUCCGGGCCUAACCAGCUGUUAGCAGGCGGUGUCCUCGGACUGGCCAAGCUUUGAAUUACCGGUCAGCGACGCUACUGCUUUGGGUACUCUCAGGACCCGUCUUGAAACACGGACCAAGGAGUCUAACAUGUGCGCGAGUCAUUGGGACAUGUAAACCUAAAGGCGCAAUGAAAGUGAAAGUCGUCCUUAGCGUCGACCAAGGGAGGAUGGGCCGCGUUACGAUGCGGCCUCGCACUCCCGGGGCGUCUCGUUCUCAUUGCGAGAAGAGGCGCACCCAGAGCGUACACGUUGGGACCCGAAAGAUGGUGAACUAUGCCUGGUCAGGACGAAGUCAGGGGAAACCCUGAUGGAGGUCCGUAGCGAUUCUGACGUGCAAAUCGAUCGUCGGAACUGGGUAUAGGGGCGAAAGACUAAUCGAACCAUCUAGUAGCUGGUUCCCUCCGAAGUUUCCCUCAGGAUAGCUGGCACUCGCUCGUUCUCUUUAGUGAACGUGUGCGAGUCUCAUCUGGUAAAGCGAAUGAUUAGAGGCCUUGGGGCCGAAACGACCUCAACCUAUUCUCAAACUUUAAAUGGGUGAGAUCUCUGGCUUGCUUGGAUCAAUGAAGCCACGAGAUUUUAUAUAUGGAUCAGAGUGCCAAGUGGGCCAAUUUUGGUAAGCAGAACUGGCGCUGUGGGAUGAACCAAACGCAGAGUUAAGGCGCCUAAGUCGACGCUUAUGGGAUACCAUGAAAGGCGUUGGUUGCUUAAGACAGCAGGACGGUGGCCAUGGAAGUCGGAA
This 1172-nucleotide ribosomal RNA is filed under the name Lasioglossum hybodinum. RNAcentral's name for it is "eukaryotic LSU rRNA". It matches the Rfam family "Eukaryotic large subunit ribosomal RNA", at positions 402 to 1266 of the family's 3401-position model. The record is from RNAcentral. Lineage: Eukaryota; Metazoa; Arthropoda; Insecta; Hymenoptera; Halictidae.